CCUACGGGAGGCAGCAGUGAGGAAUAUUGGUCAAUGGGCGGAAGCCUGAACCAGCCAAGUAGCGUGAAGGAAGACGGCCCUACGGGUUGUAAACUUCUUUUGUCGGGGAAUAACCGUCGGCACGUGUGCCGACCUGCAUGUACCCGGUGAAUAAGGACCGGCUAAUUCCGUGCCAGCAGCCGCGGUAAU
This 189-nucleotide ribosomal RNA is filed under the name uncultured bacterium. RNAcentral describes it as "partial 16S ribosomal RNA". It matches the Rfam family "Bacterial small subunit ribosomal RNA", at positions 338 to 524 of the family's 1533-position model. The record is from RNAcentral.